Molecule: non-coding RNA, 86 nt
Filed under: unclassified sequences
Description: c-di-GMP-II sequence
Rfam family: Cyclic di-GMP-II riboswitch aptamer
Source: RNAcentral
CGAAGCAGUAGAGGCUUGGAAGUUCGCCCCAAAGAUGGGCGCUUACGGGACGGACAGAGUCAGUGGCGCAACCUGCUACUUCAUAA